GACGAACGCUGGCGGCGUGCUUAACACAUGCAAGUCGAACGAUGAAGAAGAGAAACGCGAACUUCGGUUCAAAUUUCACUUCGGAUUAGUGGCAGACGGGUGAGUAACGCGUGAGCAACCUACCUCUUACAAAGGGAUAGCCUCGGGAAACCGUGAUUAAUACCAUAUGACACAUUCAUAAGGCAUCUUAAGAAUGUUAAAGCUACGGCGGUAAGGGAUGGGCUCGCGUCCCAUUAGCUAGUUGGUGAGGUAACGGCCCACCAAGGCGACGAUGGGUAACCGGGCUGAGAGGGUGAACGGUCACAUUGGAACUGAGACACGGUCCAAACUCCUACGGGAGGCAGCAGUGGGGAAUAUUGCACAAUGGAGGGAACUCUGAUGCAGCGACGCCGCGUGAGCGAUGAAGGAAUUCGUUUCGUAAAGCUCUGUUCUAUGGGAAGAAAAGGACUGUACCAUAGGAGAAAGCCCCGGCUAAAUACGUG
Molecule: ribosomal RNA, 482 nt
Filed under: uncultured bacterium
Lineage: Bacteria
Description: partial 16S ribosomal RNA
Rfam family: Bacterial small subunit ribosomal RNA
Source: RNAcentral